CACGUAUUUAGCCGGAGCUUCUUAGUCAGGUACCGUCAUUUUCUUCCCUGCUGAUAGAAGUUUACAUACCGAGAUACUUCUUCCUUCACGCGGCGUCGCUGCAUCAGGGUUUCCCCCAUUGUGCAAUAUUCCCCACUGCUGCCUCCCGUAGGAGUUUGGGCCGUGUCUCAGUCCCAAUGUGGCCGUCCACCCUCUCAGGCCGGCUACUGAUCGUCGCCUUGGUGGGCCUUUACCCCUCCAACUAGCUAAUCAGACGCGGGUCCAUCGUAUACCACCGGAGUUUUUCACACUGCACCAUGCGGUGCUGUGCGCUUAUGCGGUAUUAGCAGCCAUUUCUGGCUGUUAUCCCCCUGUAUACGGCAGGUUACCCACGCGUUACUCACCCGUCCGCCACUCAGUCAUGUAUUUCCCUUCCUCGAAAGUAAGUUCCAUACAUGCUUCGUUCGACUUGCAUGUGUUAGGCACGCCGCCAGCGUUCAUCCUGAGCCAGGAUCAAACU
RNAcentral lists this ribosomal RNA (499 nucleotides) under uncultured Eubacteriales bacterium. RNAcentral describes it as "uncultured Clostridiales bacterium partial 16S ribosomal RNA". The record is from RNAcentral. Lineage: Bacteria; Bacillati; Bacillota; Clostridia; Eubacteriales.